UACGAAGGGGGCGAGCGUUGUUCGGAAUUACUGGGCGUAAAGGGCGCGUAGGCGGCCUGUUAAGUCGGACGUGAAAUCCCUCGGCUCAACCGGGGAACUGCGUCCGAUACUGGCGGGCUUGAAUUCGGGAGAGGGAUGUGGAAUUCCAGGUGUAGCGGUGAAAUGCGUAGAUAUCUGGAGGAACACCGGUGGCGAAGGCGGCAUCCUGGACCGACAUUGACGCUGAGGCGCGAAAGCUAGGGGAGCAAACGGG
This 253-nucleotide ribosomal RNA is filed under the name uncultured bacterium. RNAcentral describes it as "partial 16S ribosomal RNA". It matches the Rfam family "Bacterial small subunit ribosomal RNA", at positions 524 to 776 of the family's 1533-position model. The record is from RNAcentral.